Anopheles arabiensis is the source of this 700-nucleotide long non-coding RNA. RefSeq lists it as uncharacterized. NCBI's taxonomy places the organism in Eukaryota, Metazoa, Arthropoda, Insecta, Diptera, Culicidae. The record is from RefSeq and is a predicted model, not a curated record. The transcript is spliced from 2 exons.
UCUCACCUGUAUGAUUACAAGUGCCGAUUGUUUCAUUAAGUAGCUUGUGUUUACCGUCAUACGUCAGCGGGCCUGGAAGUGGUUGCCGUUGGUGCGCAUCGAGUUGAAGUCAAUCUUUUAUUGCCUUUCAAGUGUGCCGUUUUUUUUAUUUCCAAGUAGUUUCACUACACAUCGCUACAUCGCUUCAACGUGAGAGGUUCGUCGCUUGUGUCCUCGCUUAAAUCACGAGCUCUCUUCCGUGUCGAUGCUCAUCUUCAAGGUGGAACUGCGCGGAAGCCAAACACAACGGCUCGAGUCAGCAUAAAACUCAUCCCCACACACCGGACGGAAGAAGAAUCUGCAAUGGAUGUGAUCAUCCGCCGUCGGUUUGUCAAGAGCAAACCGGUUCACACUCUCUCAAACACACGACGGUUUCGACAGUUAAUUGAGCCAGCGCUCGAUCGUUUACGGUUCCGUUUCAACACGAACUGUUGACGGCGUUGACCUUGAUCUUGAACCGCGACUUAGGUCGAGUCGUGAGCGUGUCUGAUGCAGUUCUGUAAUGUGUCUCUCUGCUGUUGCUUCGUGUGUGUGUGUGUGCGUCCGUGUGGGUGUAAUAAAUUAAACAAAAUUUGAUCCUAGCUCGUUACAUUACACGGAAAACCCCAGCACGUGCACUUACGAAACAAAAAUAAAUUAUAUUCAUUAUGAGCUAAUUAAA